UCAACAGCUGGGUUCCUGAAUG
Molecule: microRNA, 22 nt
Filed under: Macaca mulatta (Rhesus monkey)
Lineage: Eukaryota; Metazoa; Chordata; Mammalia; Primates; Cercopithecidae
Description: mml-miR-7198-3p
Source: miRBase by way of RNAcentral